UGUCAAGCACUGGCAGAGCCUCUUAGG
RNAcentral lists this unclassified non-coding RNA (27 nucleotides) under Mus musculus (house mouse). RNAcentral's name for it is "oocyte_clustered_small_RNA13178". Lineage: Eukaryota; Metazoa; Chordata; Mammalia; Rodentia; Muridae. The record is from RNAcentral.